UAGGGAAUCUUCCACAANGGGCGAAAGCCUGAUGGAGCAACGCCGCGUGUGUGAUGAAGGGUUUCGGCUCGUAAACACUGUUGUAAGAGAAGAAUGACAUUGAGAGUAACUGUUCAAUGUGUGACGGUAUCUUACCAGAAAGGAACGGCUAAAUACGUGUCAG
RNAcentral lists this ribosomal RNA (163 nucleotides) under uncultured bacterium. RNAcentral's name for it is "partial 16S ribosomal RNA". It matches the Rfam family "Bacterial small subunit ribosomal RNA", at positions 355 to 511 of the family's 1533-position model. The record is from RNAcentral.